ACCGUUGCCGCAAGACAACGCUGAACAUGCAGAAGUCAGCAGAGGUCAUAGUAGCUGUUUUUCAGCGAAGGAC
RNAcentral lists this non-coding RNA (73 nucleotides) under chicken gut metagenome. The record is from RNAcentral.